AAUCAACGCUGGCGGCGUGCCUCAGACAUGCAAGUCGAACGAUUAAAGCUCCCUUCGGGGAGUGCAUAAAGUGGCGCACGGGUGAGUAACACGUAAGUAAUCUACCCUCGAGUGGGGAAUAACAACCGGAAACGGUUGCUAAUACCGCAUAAUGCAGCGGCACCGCAAGGUGACAGUUGUUAAAGGAGUAAUUCGCUUGAGGAGGAGCUUGCGGCAGAUUAGCUUGNGGUAAGGUAACGGCUUACCAAGGCUACGAUCUGUAUCCGGUCUAAGAGGACGGUCGGACACACUGACACUGAAUAACGGGUCAGACUCCUACGGGAGGCAGCAGUCGGGAAUUUUGGCAAUGGGCGAAAGCCUGACCAGCAACGCCGCGUGAAGGAUGAAGU
Molecule: ribosomal RNA, 389 nt
Filed under: uncultured bacterium
Lineage: Bacteria
Description: bacterial SSU rRNA
Rfam family: Bacterial small subunit ribosomal RNA
Source: RNAcentral